This 67-nucleotide transfer RNA is filed under the name Diancistrus typhlops. RNAcentral's name for it is "partial tRNA-Ser". Lineage: Eukaryota; Metazoa; Chordata; Actinopteri; Ophidiiformes; Bythitidae. The record is from RNAcentral.
GAGAGAGGCGCGACCGCAACGAAUACUGCUAAUUUUCGCCACCCGGUUAAAAUCCAGGGCUCACUCG